GCAGCUGGAGCGCAAGUCUGGGCUCCACGGAACGUUCAAGGCACUGGGGUUGCAUGUGGUGGUGGUGGUGGUGGUGGUGGUUACCGACUGGUAGCAGGCGUGCAACAAGUCCCGCGCCUUUCAGGUAUGAAUCAUGUUGGAAGCGUGUCACGCUGCGUCACGCUUGAAUGGACAGACGAUUCAUGAUGCGUCUUCAAGUGCGAACGAUGGCACUCCUGCUCUGGCGUAUAGCACGAGAUCGGAAUCACGAUGCAAUGUAUUGUACAGAUUGUAGACGAGUUGCUUCUAGGAUGUAUACGCUUUACGGAACAGUGCAAGGAGGACUGCAAGAAUGCUUCAGGUCAGUCAUAAAACAGUACGCAGAUGAUUUAGGAACUCUGAAAGAAAGAAAGAAAGAAAGAAAGAAAGAAGUGUGUGCGAUCGGCACCAGAAACUGGUAUUGUGAAAGUGUGCCUGCGGUCAGUGGUAGAAGUAGCAGAAAACGACCCAUUGAUCACUCCAGGGAAAGCAAACGAUACGAUAGUAGACGCCGGGGGGGGGGGGUCUCUGUUUCUCAAAAGCUUGUUCUUUUUGUCCUGGUAACACGGGGCUCUGGUCACUAAAAAGCCCUAGUUCACGCACGGCUAUCUUCCACCGAAAUCGGAACUAGAGCGUUCCUGGAAAGUCACGACCCGUAUGAAGCACGGACGUCGCUUUGCUUUUCCAGUUAAUGAGACUCUCUUCGGACGAAACAGUCGUAGCGUCUAUGGGUAUUCGCGGAGCAGGGAUCCCGUCGUAGGUAUACACGAUCGUACUCGAAGAGAACGAGGGAAUCAUCAUCUGUUCUAGGUGCAGUGGAUUCAUUUGGCAGGUCAGCUUUGGCUCGUAGAGAGGGUUCGUACAUCAGCACAAACCACUUUUUCGAAGACCUGAAGACUUCUCCCUGACGUCUGCCGACAUGUUUCUAUUGGAAAAUUGUGGUAUUUUACCGCUCUCUUUGCAUUCGAGCCUUUGCCGAUUCUAUCAGGGUAGAGCUGCUUUUCAAUCCUGCGUACGCUUCGUGGUUGAAUCCCGUUGAAGGAGUCGUUUCUAUCGUGAAACGCCAUGGUCGCUGCACUGGGCGAAUUGAUGAAGCGUUCAGCAUACGACGACACACGGGCGCACAUCUCGACUUUCUUCCGCAAGUCCUUCUCGCCUCGCGAAGGUCCGAACCUGCGGCUUGCAACAGGUCCGUUCAUUCGACGAAAUAAAGAAUCCCAUGGAGCGGUAUGUGCACGCAAGUCGAGGAUCCUGAAGCGCUGUUACCGCCGGAUGCCGAAAGAAAACGACAAAAUCCUCUUCUCGCCGACCAUGGAGCGAAGCAGACCAAAUGACGAAAAAGAAGAAGAACGGUUGAGAUAGGCCAGAAAACGUGUCCGCCCGACGGGACGAUCACGAGACUUUGGUGACACCGAGGACACGAGUUGAACGAAGCCCUGCAUUGGCGCGUACCACCAGAGGCAGUUCACGCGAGACGUUCACGAACCGAGGCGUUAACGCCACCAUUAAUAUCAGACGUUGUGCGGUGCGGAAUACGAGACCUGAGAAGUUUAGGCGAUCUAACUUUGUGGAGCAGCCUCUCAGGGUCGAAGUGUGCAUGGAGAAGCUGAAGCCGAUAGCACGCGCCCCGUCGAAAAAGGCUGAGAGACGUCUCCACAUCAGGGGUUAGAUAUUCAGUCUAUGGAUGUCAAAAUCAUAGCGUGUAAUGGCGAAACAAUCUUGUCGGCAUUGGCGAGUUGGGAUGAGGAUCCGGUUCAGGGUACGUUCAGCUCGACAACGCUGGACGAGUAACGGAACGUGUAAGUGAGCGCCAGUUUUCGCGGUGUAUUCGGGUUAUGCGGACGUGGACGCGCCACAAAGCUCACAUGCACGUCGUCCCGUGCGCUAUGAUGCAGCAAAAGCACCAUGUAAGGAUGUCAACGGCGGACUAGGUCUGUCGCCGUACACUCUUCUGUGCAGGUUCGACUUGUGGCGGCGUCUCCGCUACGACAAAUCAGUGACCGAUUCGACUCCGUAGAUCGGCACUGGUAACGUAGCUUUUGAAACAGGCCACUUUCUCAGACCAUCAUGAUGUACUGAGCGUUGACGAGCCGUCAGCGUGCCCACUCGAAAUGAGGGACCAGUCAACCGGGCACCAUGGCAUCCACGCGACGCAUUCCGCAUCGUGCCGUAUUCCUGGCGGCGUUGGGCGUUCAGACACCUACACGACUUCAUGUGCAGCGGUUUUACAUAUUCGUUUCGCGGAUAUGACGCACUGGAGUCGUCUGAGCUGCGUGCAGGUUCCGGUCGUCAGUGCCGCCUGACUCGAAUUCAACAGUCCAGUGGUCUCGUACUAGGGAGCGCGUCCGCGCUCGUCUCGUGACGACCUGCGGCAUACGCAACGUCGACGUCGAGGGAAAAGCCCCAAACAAAGCUGCUACUUCAGGGCUCUGAUAUCGUGGCGCGCGGAAAGAAACGAUAUGAGUUUCACCAUACGCCCUUGACCCUGGUAGGAUUCCUGGUACCAGCACAACUAGCGACAGCAUGCGUAGUUGCACGAUUCGUAGCAACUGUUGCUCGAACAGCAUUCAUCGUCGUCGAACGCCCGGUAGUAGUCACCGCAGCAGCACUCAGCGUAGUCGUUGUAGCAGGAUAUAUAGUUGUGUGCUCGGCAUCGGAAAAUCGGCGUGUGCUGCUAGCGCUCUAAAUCAAAGAGAAGCCUCAUGAUUCGCUGCACUUGCUGGCGGGCUGUGCUCGCGGUAGCUCCCUGUUCCGCGUAGUGUCGCUCGAGUCGAUGCAUCGCAUCAGGAUCAAGGUGGAUACCUUCGGCGCUCACAAUGGCGAGGCACUCGGCCAAGGCCGGCCAUAGAACAGCAGGAGCCUUGCAAUGGGCACGAAUCAGGGCACGAACGCCAAUGUGGCUCGGGAGCACUGUCGUAGCUGCAAUUUCGCCGUUUGCGAACACAUGAAACAAGUCUAGCGCGGUACGAGCACGGUGCGUUCGGUCACUAGCAACGAGCAACGCAUCUAGUAUCGAGCGAAGCAUCUGUGGUGUCAGUUUCUCUUGAAUGGUCUCGUUCCUACGCACAUAGGUCUCGUAGAUGGUAAAGGCG
RNAcentral lists this unclassified non-coding RNA (3110 nucleotides) under Cyanidioschyzon merolae strain 10D. Its description in RNAcentral is "hypothetical transcript". Lineage: Eukaryota; Rhodophyta; Bangiophyceae; Cyanidiales; Cyanidiaceae. The record is from RNAcentral.